GGUAGUCCACGCCGUAAACGAUGUCGACUUGGAGGUUGUGCCCUUGAGGCGUGGCUUCCGGAGCUAACGCGUUAAGUCGACCGCCUGGGGAGUACGGCCGCAAGGUUAAAACUCAAAUGAAUUGACGGGGGCCCGCACAAGCGGUGGAGCAUGUGGUUUAAUUCGAUGCAACGCGAAGAACCUUACCUGGUCUUGACAUCCAGAGAAUCCUGCAGAGAUGCGGGAGUGCCUUCGGGAACUCUGAGACAGGUGCUGCAUGGCUGUCGUCAGCUCGUGUUGUGAAAUGUUGGGUUAAGUCCCGCAACGAGCGCAACCCUUAUCCUUUGUUGCCAGCGGUUCGGCCGGGAACUCAAAGGAGACUGCCGGUGAUAAACCGGAGGAAGGUGGGGAUGACGUCAAGUCAUCAUGGCCCUUACGACCAGGGCUACACACGUGCUACAAUGGCGCAUACAAAGAGAAGCGACCUCGCGAGAGCAAGCGGACCUCAUAAAGUGCGUCGUAGUCCGGAUUGGAGUCUGCAACUCGACUCCAUGAAGUCGGAAUCGCUAGUAAUCGUGGAUCAGAAUGCCACGGUGAAUACGUUCCCGGGCCUUGUACACACCGCCCGUCACACCAUGGGAGUGGGUUGCAAAAGAAGUAGGUAGCUUAACCUUCGGGAGGGCGCUUACCACUUUGUGAUUCAUGACUGGGGUGAAGUCGUAAACAAGGUAACC
Molecule: ribosomal RNA, 713 nt
Filed under: uncultured bacterium
Lineage: Bacteria
Description: bacterial SSU rRNA
Rfam family: Bacterial small subunit ribosomal RNA
Source: RNAcentral